Molecule: long non-coding RNA, 546 nt
Filed under: Ricinus communis (castor bean)
Lineage: Eukaryota; Viridiplantae; Streptophyta; Magnoliopsida; Malpighiales; Euphorbiaceae
Description: long non-coding RNA (RCOM_LNC001191)
Source: RNAcentral
AGUACUUUUACUAACUUAACUAUAUGAGUGAAUAACCUCAUAACACCAUCUACUACUCUACUAAUAUCUUUGCACAAUGUUCAGAGCUCUGAGUCAUCCUAGAAAAUUUUGUUGAGAUUUGACCAAUCUUUAACCACAAUCUACGAGAUUAACUAAGGCCCAUGGGUACCUUCAAAAUUUUCAUCCUGCAUGGCAUAACAGCUUGGAAACAAUUUUGGUCAAUUAUACAGAUUAGGCGAUCUACUAGCUUCCAGUGUUCCCAAGAUUCAUCAGUUUUGUAGUUGGAAUGAGGAAGAAGCUAAGAGACCAGGAAUAGAAUGAGUACCUGCAGGAGCAGAUGGAGAUGGGCCAAACAUUAGUGGCAAUUUUGCAGCAUUGAUAUGGGAGGAAGUUGAGCCUUGUAUUACCCUGCCAAACAACUGCUGUGCAGUGCUUUUUGACCCCAAUCGAAUCUUCCUCCAAAUAUGUAUAUCCAAAGAAACUGGUAUAGUAGGAAUGUGUGUUCGUGUCCUAUCCAAUUCGGUGUAUUUAAUUUGAUCAUAUGAC